Long non-coding RNA from Hypanus sabinus (Atlantic stingray), 1064 nucleotides. RefSeq lists it as uncharacterized. NCBI's taxonomy places the organism in Eukaryota, Metazoa, Chordata, Chondrichthyes, Myliobatiformes, Dasyatidae. The transcript has 3 exons. The record is from RefSeq and is a predicted model, not a curated record.
GGCCCUGAUAACAUUUCCUAAUGAGGGAAUAACUGAAUGAGUCGUCGAUUUGCUAUUACUUCCUCCCGGUCCAGCAGCUACAAAAGUUUUGGAGCAAGAUGCAGUAAGGGGUGCACAGCAGAUAUCUACAAUAAAAAGAAGCAUUAAAUGGAAUUUGCAAAGAUUCAGCAAGUCAUCCAAAAUAUUGACAAACUUCUAUAGCGGUAUGGUGGUGAGUAUAUUGACUGGUUGCAUCAUGGCCUGGUAUGGAAAUACCAAUAUCCUUGUACAGAAAAACCUACAAGAAUAGUUGCCCAGUCAAUCAUGGUAAACUCCCAUGUAACAUUCCCAAGAAAUUCUACUUAUGAUUGCUCAAAGUGGAGAAGCUGUAUUCUGGAUGGCAUUGCGAACCUCAAGUCCUUCUUCGGGAGCAGACAGAUGCUCAAUACUAAUAGCGGAAAGAACACACCACUGCUCAGUCCACCCGCAUAUCCACUCUGUCAAGUAAUCCUUCCCCACAGUGGAAAUACCUGUGGGACCUAAAAUGACUUCAUCAGAAUCUUCCAUCCCUCCCAUUAUCCAGGCCAUGCUCUCUUCUCAUUGCUGCCAUCAAGAAGAAGGUACAGGAGCCUCAGAAUCCACACUACCAGGUUCAGGAACAGUUAUUAUCCCUCAACCAUCAGGAUCUGGAACCAGAGGGGAUAACUUCAGUCAAUCCAUUACUGAAUUGUUCCCACAAGCCAUGGACUCACUUUCAAGGAAUCUUCAUUUAAUGUUCUCAAUAUUUAUUGCUUAUUUAUUCAUAACUAGUAUUAUUUUCAUUUGUACUUGCACAGUAUGUUGCCUUUUGCACAUUGGGUGUUUGUCAGUCCAAUCAAGUAUGGUCUUUCAUUCAUUCUAUUGUAGUUCUUUGGAGUUACUGUGUAUGCCUGCAAGAAAAUAAAUCUCACGGUUGUAUAUGGUGACAUAUAUGUACUUGGAUAAUAAAUUUACUUUGAACUUUGAACUUAGAACUCGAACGGAAACAGAUUAUCCAUGACCCAAUGGUCUGCUUAAGAGAAAGAGUCUAAUGAUUAGAAACAAGA